This 462-nucleotide unclassified non-coding RNA is filed under the name Hevea brasiliensis (rubber tree). The record is from RNAcentral. Lineage: Eukaryota; Viridiplantae; Streptophyta; Magnoliopsida; Malpighiales; Euphorbiaceae.
CAACUAACCGAACCACUUCAGUAGCUCGAGUUCUAAAACGCUUGCCAUCAUCUCCAAGAACAAGGCCAAAUCCAACAUGGCUAGCUUUAGGAAACAUACUAUCACCAGCUGGGAGCCAACCCGCACGUUUGGCAGCUUUGAAUACCAUAUCAAAGUGCUGCUGCUGACCAACAUCAGUAACAUAUAUAAUCCACUCAGCUUUAUCUUCAUUAAGGCGAUACCAAAGGGCAGCUAGAUCAGUAGAAGCAUAGUUGUAACCACCAUCACUCUUCACAACAAUAAGAGGUAUAUUAAUUCCUUCAAUAAAGAUCACGCGAGCACCUUCACUUUCUUGAACUAAUCCUUUCUUUAUUGCUUAAUCCCUCUAUAACCCCAGGAAUGAAUGGAUUGUAAAAGCUUUCUCCCUUUUCCUCAAGAUGAACUCCAAGGCGUUGAUAGACCUUAUCGAACUCCUUCCUGCUG